UCCCUGGUGGUCCAGUGGUUAGGACUCAGCACUUUCACUGCUGAGGGCCUGGGUUCAAUCCCUGGUCAGGGAA
Molecule: non-coding RNA, 73 nt
Organism: Lagenorhynchus albirostris (white-beaked dolphin)
Lineage: Eukaryota; Metazoa; Chordata; Mammalia; Artiodactyla; Delphinidae
Source: the annotation of a RefSeq genome assembly